RNAcentral lists this ribosomal RNA (390 nucleotides) under uncultured bacterium. Its description in RNAcentral is "bacterial SSU rRNA". It matches the Rfam family "Bacterial small subunit ribosomal RNA", at positions 28 to 419 of the family's 1533-position model. The record is from RNAcentral.
GACGAACGCUGGCGGCGUGCUUAACACAUGCAAGUCGUGCGACAGCGCCUUCUUCGGGUGGUGAUGAGUGGCGAACGGGUGAGUAACACGUGGGUAAUCUGCCCUGCACUCUGGGAUAAGCCUUGGAAACGAGGUCUAAUACCGGAUAUCACAACUUCUCGCAUGGGGGGUUGUUGAAAGUUCUGGCGGUGCAGGAUGAACCCGCGGCCUAUCAGCUUGUUGGUGGGGUAANGGCCUACCAAGGCGACGACGGGUAGCCGGCCUGAGAGGGUGACCGGCCACACUGGGACUGAGACACGGCCCAGACUCCUACGGGAGGCAGCAGUGGGGAAUAUUGCACAAUGGGCGAAAGCCUGAUGCAGCGACGCCGCGUGAGGGAUGACGGCCUGG